UGUCGCGGUGAAUACGUUCCCGGGUCUUGUACACACCGCCCGUCAAACCAUGAAAGUGACCAACACCCGAAGUCCGAUUCGUCGGCCUAAGGUGGGGGGCAUGAUUGGGGUU
RNAcentral lists this ribosomal RNA (112 nucleotides) under uncultured bacterium. Its description in RNAcentral is "partial 16S ribosomal RNA". It matches the Rfam family "Bacterial small subunit ribosomal RNA", at positions 1355 to 1482 of the family's 1533-position model. The record is from RNAcentral.